CCUACGGGGGGCAGCAGUGGGGAAUAUUGCACAAUGGGGGAAACCCUGAUGCAGCGACGCCGCGUGAGUGAAGAAGUAAUUCGUUAUGUAAAGCUCUAUCAGCAGGGAAGAAAAUGACGGUACCUGAGUAAGAAGCCCCGGCUAACUACGUGCCAGCAGCCGCGGUAAUACGUAGGGGGCAAGCGUUAUCCGGAUUUACUGGGUGUAAAGGGAGCGUAGACGGCAGUGCAAGUCUGGAGUGAAAGGCGGGGGCUCAACCCCCGGACUGCUCUGGAAACUGGACGGCUGGAGUGCAGGAGAGGUAGGUGGAAGUCCUGGUGUAGCGGUGAAAUGCGGAGAGAUUAGGAGGAACACCGGUGGCGAAGGC
Molecule: ribosomal RNA, 367 nt
Filed under: uncultured bacterium
Lineage: Bacteria
Description: partial 16S ribosomal RNA
Rfam family: Bacterial small subunit ribosomal RNA
Source: RNAcentral